Cyprinus carpio carpio is the source of this 2544-nucleotide long non-coding RNA. The record is from Ensembl. NCBI's taxonomy places the organism in Eukaryota, Metazoa, Chordata, Actinopteri, Cypriniformes, Cyprinidae.
CCUGUUAGUAGAGACUGUAUAUAAAGGCCCAGAAGUGCUGCUCAUUUCAGAGCACUGAUCAGGGAUAGUGACUGACUGACACUGCUGCAAAAACUCUACAGUCAGCAAAAUACAAACAGGUUUUAGAUACAGAGACAGCAGAACAGCAUGGCCACUGCGAAUGAAAAAGACACAGUGUGGAUCGGGUUCAUGGAUAUCGUUCCGGUCAUCGGGAAGGUUAAAGAGGCAGUGGAGCUGGUGCUGGCUCUGUACGAAGGGAAUAAAGCGGUGAUAAAGGAGAAAGAGAAGGCCGUUGAAAACAUUGUGAAAUUUUGAUUUUAAGGAUGUAAUCAUCUCUUAUGAGGCUCAGAGUUCCCGAAGUGAAUUAUUUUCAUACAGCAGCAUGGUCUAUCAUGUGUUAUUCUUUGCAUACAAUAUGGUAUAAUUAUUGCAUGUCACAGUGCACCAUCAUGCCAGUCUAUGUCCAGUCUAUGUCCAGUCCAUUUAAUUUUUUUAUCUUUCCAUAACUAGAAGAUGACUAAAUCAGCAGCAUUUCCAGCUGAUAAAUCAGCAGCAUUUCCAGCUGAUAAAACAGCAGCAGCUGCAGCUGAAUUUUCUGGACUCGGAAAUGUGAGAGAGGUCAGAAUGGAAAUGGUUAUUGUACAUCUGGCCCAAGCUUUCACAAGGGGAAAAAAAGUUCAAACUUCAGCUGAGCAGAAAAGUGAGCAGAAAGACAGACAGAAAAAAAUGGAGUACAUUAAGAAAGACAUGUUAGAAAAGAUCCAUAUGAUCGAUCCAAACUUCAAUGAGGAGCUGAAGGAAGAACUGAGAAGGUCACAAAGAGGCGAACAUGUCUUCAACAAUAACAUUCUUAAAUUUCAUUGCAAAGUGCUAGAUGAUUUUAUACAAGAACAAAAUAUUGAUAAUCUACAAAGAUAUAAUCCGCAGGAAAUGGAUACAUUACGCAGACAGACACUUACCCAAAAUGCAGAAGAAGAAAUUCAGACAAACAUGGUGGUUCACUUUGGUGAGGAUGAAUUCUAUGUGAAUGCAAAUGCAGUGAUAUAUGGUGUAUAUUGCAGAGCACUGCGUGGUGCUUUGUUAAAUGUGCUGCGCCACAUAAACCCAGGUGAGGUGGCAGAAGAGAAGAGACAUUGGGUGAAUUUUGUCAUAAAUACUAUGAAUAACUAUGAAAUCUAUGUGGACCAAAUGGCAAAGGUCCGUUGGAUUGCCAAUAUAGAGACUAGACGGGCCCGGUUUGAACGGGUAAAACAGGAAGUUGUGACCAUGUAUAACACAGAUCGUGGGUAUGACUGGUGCAUUAGCAUUCUGCAUGAAGUUGCAGGUUUGUUUGAACAUAGACAGUGAGUUCAUUUCUCCUGUUCAGGGUUGCCAGGUUUCCUUUCAAAAUUUCCAUCUUAACUACAUCCUAAAUCCCACAGACCUGAAACUAGCUGAAAGUUUGGACACUGGAAGAAACAAAGUUCACUGUGGUGCACACAUAUUUGUAUGUUUGCAAUGUUUCCAACACACUUAGGGUCAGAGUUUUGUCACCCAUAGCCUGUUACAACUGUUAUUUUUUAUUUUAUUUAUUUCAUUUAUUUGUACAGGGACAACGUACAACAACAGUGUCAUGCCAGAGUUAGCUAUAAAGCUAAUUUGUAUCUGCAAUCCCUGGGCAGGAUGUUCUUACAAAAUUACAAUAUUAAGUGACAAACAAUACAAUAAAUAUUACACAUACAACAUCACAUCAUACUACAUUAAAUUACAAAUCCAAGUCAAUGAUCACAUAUCUGAUUUUCCUUAAGCCAUACUUUAAGCAUAGUUGUAAAAAUACUAAGUGUUGCACACUCUCUAAUAUAAACAGGUCUUAAAUUCCAUCUUUCUGCUGCUCUAACCGAAAAAGCUGAUUGUCCAAAAAUAGUUUCUUAAAUUUAGUUGAACAGUCACCUCUAACUGAUGACCUAGUCUGCCUGAUAUUGUCCUUUCAGAAAGUCACACAUUGUUUAAGAGGUGGUGGUGCAAGAUUAUGAAAUACUUUGUACAUUAAACAGACAUCAGCAAAUAAAAAAAAAAUGUUAAAACGUCAAUCAUUUAUAAUAUAGUGAUGAUAACUUCUUGGCUUUUUAGCUAAGAUUUUCACAGCUUGUUUAUAAAUAGUAUAUAAUGGUUUUAACGUAGUUAAAAUGCAUCCACAUCUGUGUGUUUGUGGUCUGCGAGGAAAAUCGGUUGUUUCAAUAAAUUCAAUUGUAAUAGCCUUCUCUAUUAAAUCUGAACCAGUACAGAACCGGAGGAAAAGUUGAAGGGUGUUCAGAUCAAUUUCAGCAAUGUACCUUUUCAGAUAGUGUGCAACUGUUGUCUGGGGUGCUGUCAUAUCAUUUGGGAAGUGUAACAGCUCCUUCACUGCUUUUGCAGUUGUUUUUUUCUGUUUAACUGUACAAUUCAAACCAUCUAGUGGUAGCAUACUAGCUACAUGCACCAUAAUGGGACGCCAGCACUCAAUCACAUACAUUGGGGCCUGUAUUAUGGCUUUGUGCCCCAUUUGUGCUAGCAGAGGAACCAAAC